GAAUAUUGGUCAAUGGGGGGAACCCUGAUCCAGCCAUGCCGCGUGCGUGAAGAAGGCCUUUUGGUUGUAAAGCACUUUCAGCGAGGAGAAGGCUACUCUCGUUAAUACCUAGAGACAGUGGACGUUACUCGCAUACUAAGCCCUGGCUAACUCUGUGCUAGCAGCCGCGGUAAUACAGAGGGUGCAAGCGUUACUCGGAUUUACUGGGCGUAAAGCGCGCGUAGGUGGCCGAUUAAGUCAAAUGUGAAAUCCCCGAGCUUAACUAGGGAAGUGCAUUCGAUACUGGUUGGCUAGAGUAUGGGAGAGGAUGGUAGAAUUCCAGGUGUAGCGGUGAAAUGCGUAGAGAUCUGGAGGAAUACCGAUGGCGAAGGCAGCCAUCUGGCCUAAUACUGACACUGAGGUGCGAAAGCAUGGGGAGCAAACA
This 424-nucleotide ribosomal RNA is filed under the name uncultured bacterium. RNAcentral's name for it is "partial 16S ribosomal RNA". It matches the Rfam family "Bacterial small subunit ribosomal RNA", at positions 359 to 774 of the family's 1533-position model. The record is from RNAcentral.